UCAGGAUGAACGCUAGCUACAGGCUUAACACAUGCAAGUCGAGGGGCAGCAUGACGAUAGCUUGCUAUUGUUGAUGGCGACCGGCGCACGGGUGAGUAACGCGUAUCCAACCUGCCCUUGUCCAUCGGAUAACCCGUCGAAAGGCGGCCUAACACGAUAUGCAGUCCACAGAAGGCAUCUGACGCGGACGAAAUGUGAAGGAGAAGGAUGGGGAUGCGUCUGAUUAGCUUGUUGGCGGGGUAACGGUCCACCAAGGCGACGAUCAGUAGGGGUUCUGAGAGGAAGGUCCCCCACAUUGGAACUGAGACACGGUCCAAACUCCUACGGGAGGCAGCAGUGAGGAAUAUUGGUCAAUGGGCGAGAGCCUGAACCAGCCAAGUAGCGUGCAGGAUGACGGCCCUAUGGGUUGUAAACUGCUUUUAUGCGGGGAUAAAGUGAGCCACGUGUGGCUUAUUGCAGGUACCGCAUGAAUAAGGACCGGCUAAUUCCGUGCCAGCAGCCGCGGUAAUACGGAAGGUCCGGGCGUUAUCCGGAUUUAUUGGGUUUAAAGGGAGCGUAGGCCGUCUGGUAAGCGUGUUGUGAAAUGUCGGGGCUCAACCUGGGCAUUGCAGCGCGAACUGUCAGACUUGAGUGCGCGGGAAGUAGGCGGAAUUCGUCGUGUAGCGGUGAAAUGCUUAGAUAUGACGAAGAACUCCGAUUGCGAAGGCAGCCUGCUGUAGCGCAACUGACGCUGAAGCUCGAAAGCGUGGGUAUCGAACAGGAUUAGAUACCCUGGUAGUCCACGCGGUAAACGAUGGAUGCUCGCUGUUUGCGUCUGACGUAAGCGGCCAAGCGAAAGCGUUAAGCACCCCACCUGGGGAGUACGCCGGCAACGGUGAAACUCAAAGGAAUUGACGGAAGG
RNAcentral lists this ribosomal RNA (901 nucleotides) under uncultured bacterium. RNAcentral describes it as "bacterial SSU rRNA". It matches the Rfam family "Bacterial small subunit ribosomal RNA", at positions 24 to 920 of the family's 1533-position model. The record is from RNAcentral.